UGAAGUCAUGACUCUUCUUUUCUUCUAGAAUCGCGCGGCCCGAGUCCGAGUGGGCAAGGGGGACAAGCCAGUGACCUACGAGGAGGCACACGCACCUCACUACAUCGCGCACCGCAAAGGCUGGCUGUCGCUGCACACAAGUAACCUGGAUGGGGAGGAGCAUGCCGCAGAGCGGACAGUGGAAGAUGUCUUCCUCCGCAAAUUUAUGCUGGGCACCUUCCCAGGCUGCCUGGCUGACCAGCUUGUCCUCAAGCGCCGGGCUAACCAGCUGGAGAUCUGUGCCCUGGUCCUGAGACAGCUGCCCGCACACAAGUUCUACUUCCUCGUGGGCUACAGCGAGACCCUGCUGUCCCACUUCUACAAGUGUCCUGUGCGUCUGCACCUGCAAACUGUGCCCUCCAAGGUUGUGUAUAAGUACAUCUAGGCCAUCUGCCCCUUCUGCAUCAAGCUCUAGCCUGCGAAGGACAGAAACCUGUGGGAAAGGGCUGAAGUAGAAAUGGGGGAAGUAGGUCCCAUCGGACUACUGAGGCUUUGUUUUCAAAGUUGCCCUCGAAUAAAUAGACUUUUUCCAUGUU
Molecule: non-coding RNA, 575 nt
Organism: Vicugna pacos (alpaca)
Lineage: Eukaryota; Metazoa; Chordata; Mammalia; Artiodactyla; Camelidae
Source: RefSeq, a predicted model, not a curated record